AAAACAUCAAAUUCGGGUGUAACCUGCACCCCAACAAGAUCUGUGGAUCUCACUUGGAUUUCAGAUAGUGGUAGACAUUGAAAUUGUUGCAAAGAAUCAAGUUGCACUGAUCAUCAAUUAUGCUGCUUUAAUCACCAGGCUGGCUCCAACUUUGAUGGCAUUCCAGAAGAGCCCAAAGAUGUGACUUUGCCAUCUGGCCUGGGAUUCAGAGAGGGGUUUGGAGAGCAUAAAACAGCUAUAUGGUUCUUGAAUGGCCUGCUCUCCAGGAGACUGCAUUGUGUGGCUUUUAAUUCUUUCAAUGUUUUUAAUGUUUGUAGCAUUUGUAUGGAUGUUUCAUUUUUUUAAAAAAACAACACAUUCUUUGUUUUACUUGUAAGGCAACCUGCGUCACGAAUGUGA
Long non-coding RNA from Ahaetulla prasina, 399 nucleotides. RefSeq lists it as uncharacterized. The transcript has 3 exons. The record is from RefSeq and is a predicted model, not a curated record. Lineage: Eukaryota; Metazoa; Chordata; Lepidosauria; Squamata; Colubridae.